AUGGCCAACGGUUUAACAGGGGUUGAUCUUGCUCGCUGUUGGAUAUCAUGGAGCAUACUGCCUCUUAGUCUGCGCUUCGGUUUGAUGUGCCAGUAUACUGAUCAUGUUGAUGACCCACUGCGACACUCAAGACUCCGGCUCUCUGGUGAAGAAAUCACAGAGGCUGUGCGUAAGAUACUGAAUGAACCGGAACACAUCUACGCCAGAACCGGCCUGCUUCCCUUCUGUGCCACCAACAAACCGCCAGCUGGCGAUGAUCCGUUUUGGAGCAAAAAACUGCCGCAGGAGAAGCCAGAAAAACCAGACAAACCGGAAAGAGCAGCCCGGCAAAAGACUAAAGCUGUGAAGAAGACUGCCCAUAGGAAAAGAACCACCGCCUCUUCUAAUCCGGCUCCUAACGUUGAGGAUGACGUCGAAGCCAGCCACGCGGAUGUUGCCGAGGUAAUUAUUCUCUCUUCCGAUUCAGAAACCUUGCCUUCACAAAAAAUCCGUCAGGCAAACCGGAAAGUUAAAUUUUCUCAUCCUCUUGCUUAUUUGGAUCCUAAACUUCUUAUGAAGACCCAACAACACGAAGCUCGCCGCACCACCCGGCACAGCGGCCAGGUAGUUACCUCCGCCGGUUUACCGAACAGUCCGGUUCGGAAACGCCAUUCCGAGGUUACUUCCCACUCAUCUUCUGGCGAGUCAUCGGCUACUCAGCUCCCACCGCUCAAAAUGGUGUUUGGGCCAAACCUAGGCCAAGCAAGAAGGCCCGCCUAG
Molecule: ribosomal RNA, 759 nt
Filed under: Triticum aestivum (bread wheat)
Lineage: Eukaryota; Viridiplantae; Streptophyta; Magnoliopsida; Poales; Poaceae
Description: partial small subunit ribosomal RNA
Source: RNAcentral